UUUUUUCCCCGAAUUCAAGUUUAUCUAAUUCAAAACGAAUUGAAAGAAGCGUGUAAUCCAAUCUUUACGCAAUUUCGGGAAGCAAACCGUGUCCAAUUCCAGAUGUUUCACUCAUUUUAUUGUCUCUUUUUUCUUUCCA
Non-coding RNA from Caenorhabditis elegans, 139 nucleotides. The record is from Ensembl. Lineage: Eukaryota; Metazoa; Nematoda; Chromadorea; Rhabditida; Rhabditidae.